CAGAGGUCCCGAGCGUUGUUCGGAUUCAUUGGGCGUAAAGGGUGUGUAGGAGGUCUUGUAAGUCGGGCGUGAAAUCUCACCGCUUAACGGUGAAACUGCGUUCGAUACUGCUUGGCUGGAGGAUCGGAGGGGGUAUCGGAAUUCAUGGUGUAGCAGUGAAAUGCGUAGAUAUCAUGAGGAACACCGGUGGCGAAAGCGGAUACCUGGAAGAUUCCUGACUCUGAAACACGAAAGCUAGGGGAGCAAACGGGAUUAGAUACCCGGUAGUCCUAGCCGUAAACGGUGUGCAUUGGGUGUGAGCGGAUUCGACCCCGUUCGUGCCGAAGACAACUCAUUAAAUGCACCGCCUGGGAAGUACGGUCGCAAGAUUA
This 371-nucleotide ribosomal RNA is filed under the name uncultured organism. Its description in RNAcentral is "bacterial SSU rRNA". It matches the Rfam family "Bacterial small subunit ribosomal RNA", at positions 526 to 896 of the family's 1533-position model. The record is from RNAcentral.